Molecule: long non-coding RNA, 1351 nt
Organism: Poeciliopsis prolifica (blackstripe livebearer)
Lineage: Eukaryota; Metazoa; Chordata; Actinopteri; Cyprinodontiformes; Poeciliidae
Exons: 4
Source: RefSeq, a predicted model, not a curated record
AAAAAAAAAGUCCAAGUGAACAUCACUUAAUUAUCAUCAACUAGUUGUUUAUACUCAUCUUAAACCAUUGGCAGGAAUCUUUGGAUAAAACACACAAACAAUAAAAAAAAAAAGCUUUAUCAGUUAAUCUAUUUAAAUUGAGUCCACGCAACAACAAAAAUAAAAUAAAAAGUGAACUAUCUGAAAGUAGUGAGGAUGUUGUGUGCUAAAUGUUUAACGUUUUAACAUGCCCAGCAGACACCACACCAUUUCUGCUCAAGCAAACCACAAGGUUUUGAACAGGACAACUAUGUCCCAAAAAAAAAAAAAAAAUGAGACCGUGUAUCUUUAUUGUAUGUAGCAAAUAUAUUGCUGCUGGUGCUGCUGCUGCUGUAGGUAGAAAAUAAAAGAAGUUUUUUUGCAGAGAAUAAUAUUCUGGAUGAGUUUAAGAAUAUUCUUUGCCAAAAUUACACAGUGUAACUACACUUGUAUUUUAUAUGUUGCAGUAACUGAAUCUUUUGAGGCAAUUGGUUUGCAUAAAUUUAAGUAAAUCCAACCUAUUUUCCUGCUCUACAUACUUAGCUAGCAAUUUGCCAGUUAGCUUCCCAGUCUGAAUUUCUGUGCAAUGUCUUUAUUCAGUGAACUCUUCUAUCCUGUACUCCAAUUCUAUUCCUGAACUCCGAUAUUCUACAUCCAUUUUGUGAAUGUUUUGCUUGCUUGCUUGUUGAUCUUCAGCAUGCUCUGAAGGCAGUAUCGAGUUUCUCUUACUUUAAACCGCCCAACUUGCACCUGAUUGGCACUUUAGCCUUUUGAUUCCCUCCCAGUGAGGCGGUGCUUCACAAAGCAAAUUGAUUGUCAAUCUGUUGCUCUCUGCCUGGUGGUUGUUUCAGAAGAUGAGGAAACAUGGUGACUGAGGUUUACAGCCAACUAGCCAGAUUAUGCAGCUUUUUUUUUUACUAGAUAGCGGUCCUAAAAAACUACAUACCUUUAAAAUAUGAACAAAUACGUACAAUUCCUUAAUUAUUUGAUUCAUGGGUGAUACAAGUUUGGUCAUUUGGAAUGCAACUCAAGGACUGUGGCUUCUUAAUUACAGAGUUUUGAAGCGAUGGAGGAAAUUUACGUCAAUAUGGAACCUGUUGAACAAAGUGCAUCUCAUCCCACAGGUUUCUGUUCAGGUAGCAGCAGCUCCAAAGAGAGGCUCUGCCUCGGUGUGGCCGUAUCUUUGGGAAUCCUGAACGUUUUCCUUUUGACCGAACUCAUCGCCCUCAGUGUACACACUCAUGACAUGACAGCAGAUUUUUCUGACAUCAGCAACAUUCUGACUGAGCAGAACAGCAACAAGUUUCCCUCCGUGAACGCUAACUUCACUGCU